GCACUGAUAACAGAAAUUGCGCAGCGCGCAUCAUGUGUUGUGACAGGUGAUACUUGCUAUCAGCGUGCAGAGGAUCGAUCAAGCGGGCAAACCUAGUGGUAAGGCCUGUUUUCAAUUUGCGUUUUCGACUCUGAAACUUCAAGGUUCAUUGAAUGAAUUUGUUUUAUAUCACCUUCACAUCCCUCACGAGAAAAUGCCGUGCAAUGGUACUCCUCUUAAGUACAAAGACUUCUUUGAGGAGUGGUGGUCUGCAAAAGGACAUGAUGAAAAGGUGAAGGUCGUCGAAGCAAAGUACAAAGCCGUCUAUAACCUAACAGAUGAUGUUGAUGAAAAUAAGUUGAAAAAAUUCGUCCUCUUAGUGUGCCAAAAUAUGAAAGCUAAAAUGAAAAAAAGAAGUUUUGUAAAGGCAAACGUUCUUAAGUACGAAGAUAGAUUUUUAAACACCAAUAUCUCUCUUCCGGAUGAGUUACUGCCCCAGGAAAAAAACAUUCCAUCACAAACGAGUACCCCAGAAAAAGAAUCCUCUCGUGGUCGCCCCCAGAAAGAAUUCUCUGAAAGUUCCGACAAGACCAAAAAACGGAGAGUUCAACAACUGCUCAAUGACUAUAGCCAUGAGGAGCUGCAAUAUGCUGCCAACUUAUCAAGAGAUAGUGGUUGUACUAAUACUAGCGAAACCCGCAAAUUUUCGCUGCAUGAAACUCUAGCAAACUGCCUAGAUCUAAAUUUGUCAGAUAGGAAAUACAAUUUGUUGAGAGAUAAAAUUAAUUCUCAUUUUGCCGGGGCUCUCCCAAGUCUAUAUAGUUUAAAUAAAUACAAGAAAGAAUUUUUUCCAGACAUUGAAUUUGUGUCCGAUACCACGGUGGAGCUGAACGUGCAAAGCAUGCUUAAUAAAACAGUCCAGAGCAUCUUUAAGAUGAUGGACGACGAAUUGAGAGAGAAAAGUGAAACUGAAUUAGUUCUAGUGAGCAAGUGGGGGAUGGAUGGCAGCUCGGGCCAUGGUACUUACAAACUUAAAUUUAGCGAUGCAAAAAACACUGAUGAAUAUCUUUUUCUAAUAGCAUUCGUUCCUCUAGAAGUUGUUGACAGCAAAUCAAACAUAUUAUGGAAAAAUCCAAAGCCUUGCUCAUCGUUUUAUUGCCGUCCUUUAAAAUUUAUUUUUGCCAAAGAAAAUUCAGAUUUAGUUUUAGCGGAAUUCCAGAAAUUUGAUGAAAUUUUCAAAAAUGGGGUUCAAAAUUUUACUUUAACCAACG
Molecule: long non-coding RNA, 1250 nt
Filed under: Bemisia tabaci
Lineage: Eukaryota; Metazoa; Arthropoda; Insecta; Hemiptera; Aleyrodidae
Description: lncRNA ENSSSA1UGG012943
Source: RNAcentral